RNAcentral lists this ribosomal RNA (494 nucleotides) under uncultured bacterium. RNAcentral's name for it is "partial 16S ribosomal RNA". It matches the Rfam family "Bacterial small subunit ribosomal RNA", at positions 28 to 507 of the family's 1533-position model. The record is from RNAcentral.
GACGAACGCUGGCGGCGUGCUUAACACAUGCAAGUCGAACGGUGAAGCGCCUUCCUUUUUGGUGGGUGUGGAUGAGUGGCGAACGGGUGAGUAACACGUGAGUAACCUGCCCCCUUCUUCUGGAUAACCGCAUGAAAGUGUGGCUAAUACGGGAUAUUCUGGGUCUGUCGCAUGAUGGGUCUGGGACAGAUAUUGUUUCGGUGGGGGAUGGGCUCGCGGCCUAUCAGCUUGUUGGUGGGGUGAUGGCCUACCAAGGCGGUGACGGGUAGCCGGCCUGAGAGGGUGGACGGCCACACUGGGACUGAGACACGGCCCAGACUCCUACGGGAGGCAGCAGUGGGGAAUAUUGCACAAUGGGCGCAAGCCUGAUGCAGCGACGCCGCGUGAGGGAUGGAGGCCUUCGGGUUGUGAACCUCUUUCGCCAGUGAAGCAGGCCUGCCUCGUUUGUGGGUGGGUUGACGGUAGCUGGAUAAGAAGCGCCGGCUAACUACGUG